CACGUAGGGGGCGAGCGUUGUCCGGAUCUAUUGGGCGUAAAGAGCUCGUAGGCGGCUCGGUAAGUCAGGUGUGAAAACUCUAGGCUCAACCUAGAGACGCCACCUGAUACUGCCGUGGCUAGAGUCCGGUAGGGGAGCAUGGAAUUCCUGGUGUAGCGGUGAAAUGCGCAGAUAUCAGGAGGAACACCAGUGGCGAAGGCGGUGCUCUGGGCCGGAACUGACGCUGAGGAGCGAAAGCGUGGGGAGCAAACAGG
Molecule: ribosomal RNA, 254 nt
Filed under: uncultured bacterium
Lineage: Bacteria
Description: partial 16S ribosomal RNA
Rfam family: Bacterial small subunit ribosomal RNA
Source: RNAcentral